Ailuropoda melanoleuca (giant panda) is the source of this 187-nucleotide long non-coding RNA. RefSeq lists it as uncharacterized. NCBI's taxonomy places the organism in Eukaryota, Metazoa, Chordata, Mammalia, Carnivora, Ursidae. The transcript is spliced from 3 exons. The record is from RefSeq and is a predicted model, not a curated record.
AUUCAUCAGGGAGCAGAUAAUGUCUGGUUAUUGCUCUCUAUGUGAUGUCGGCAGCCAUUGAUACUCAGAAUACUUUUAUGAAGAGAUCUAUCCCCUCAACUACAAUUUGGUUGCACGGUGAUACAGUUCACAACGGAAAGAGAUAGAGACAGCCAGCGAGAGAGGAAACACAAGCAGAGGGAGUGGG